UUUUUUUUUUUUUUUGUGAUGGAGUUUUGCUCUUGUCGCCCAGGCUGGAGUGCAGUGGUACAAUCUCGGCUCCCUGCAACCUCUACCUCCCAGGUUCAAGCAAUUCUCCUGCCUCGGUCUCCCGAGUAGCUGGGAUUACAGGUGCCCACCACCACGCCUAGCCCUUCACUGUGACUUCUGACAGUGCAGAUCAGAUUGGUUGUGCCUGUUUUGGACUUUAUGUAAAUGUAGUUCUGCAGGAUGGAAUCUGGUGUUGAAUGCAGAGGUUUUCAGAUUUCUCUGUUUUUUAAAGGAAAGAAUCCACCCUCGUUCAUUUUUUCACUUAAAUUGCACAGGGGACCCAACGAUAUAGAACACAAUCAGAGGUACUCUGGGCUGAGGGAGUGCUGAGUUCUGAGGCUGGGUUUCUCAGAACAGUCUAGAUUUUAAAAACCCAAUGAUCUAGCCAGAAAACGUAGGUUAGGAUUUUAUUUCCCGUUUGUGACCCUGGGCAAGUCAUUAGCCUCCUGGGCCUCGGGUUCUCACUUGGAGUAUGAGGAUAAUGAGGGUUACUGCUUCUCAGACUUGUGACGAUGCUUACUAAUGGCCAACAUGUGAAUGCGCUUUUGUGAAGUGCCAGCAGAGCAUGAGGGGUGGUCAGGGGCAGCAGUUUUAGGGGCCUGGGGGAGGCUGGGGCUUUGGGGGCCUGGUUCUCAGAUGUACAGCUAAUCCUGUACCCUUCCCGCAGACCGGCAUGGGCUGCAGGAGCCGCGGCGGGUGGAGGAGCUGCAGAACCGCAUCGCCAGCUGCCUGAAGGAGCACGUGGCAGCUGUGGCGGGCGAGCCCCAGCCAGCCAGCUGCCUGUCACGUCUGUUGGGCAAACUGCCCGAGCUGCGGACCCUGUGCACCCAGGGCCUGCAGCGCAUCUUCUACCUCAAGCUGGAGGACUUGGUGCCCCCUCCACCCAUCAUUGACAAGAUCUUCAUGGACACGCUGCCCUUCUGACCCCUGCCUGGGAACACGUGUGCACAUGCGCACUCUCAUAUGCCACCCCAUGUGCCUUUAGUCCACGGACCCCCAGAGCACCCCCAAGCCUGGGCUUGAGCUGCAGAAUGACUCCACCUUCUCACCUGCUCCAGGAGGUUUGCAGGGAGCUCAAGCCCUUGGGGAGGGGGAUGCCUUCAUGGGGGUGACCCCACGAUUUGUCUUAUCCCCCCCAGCCUGGCCCCGGCCUUUAUGUUUUUUGUAAGAUAAACCGUUUUUAACACAUAGCGCCGUGCUGUAAAUAAGCCCAGUGCUGCUGUAAAUACAGGAAGAAAGAGCUUGAGGUGGGAGCGGGGCUGGGAGGAAGGGAUGGGCCCCGCCUUCCUGGGCAGCCUUUCCAGCCUCCUGCUGGCUCUCUCUU
This 1384-nucleotide long non-coding RNA is filed under the name Homo sapiens (human). Its description in RNAcentral is "partial NR4A1AS". Lineage: Eukaryota; Metazoa; Chordata; Mammalia; Primates; Hominidae. The record is from RNAcentral.